Alligator sinensis (Chinese alligator) is the source of this 1653-nucleotide long non-coding RNA. RefSeq lists it as uncharacterized. The record is from RefSeq and is a predicted model, not a curated record. Lineage: Eukaryota; Metazoa; Chordata; Crocodylia; Alligatoridae. The transcript has 5 exons.
CGACGUGGCUUUUAUAGCCGGCUGGGCGGAGGGGGGGUGGGGCCUGAAGAGGACCAAUGGCCGAGCGCGGGCGUCAGCGCUGACUCAUACGCACGGGGCGCUGACCGUGCUACCGCGUGGCCUGCUGGGAGCUGUAGUCGACACCGCCCUCGGGUGACCGCAGAGUCGCGGCACUGCAUGCUGGGAGUUGUAGUGCGGGGCUCUACAACUCCGGAGUGCACGCCGGGAAGAGAGGGUUCAGUUUUCCGCAGUCAUUGGUAGAUGCCGGGGCUUACGUCACCCCCCCCGCCUCCCUUAUGCCCCUCCCCUCGUCCUCGUCUGACCCGGGGAGGGGCGGACCGCCUGGUCUUCGCUGCAGCUGCAGGCUCAGACACCGAGGGCGUUGCCCAGCAACCGGGGAGAGGGGGGUUGGCCGCGCGCUCUUCGCUCCCGACUGACGUCACGUCCAGCGGGGCAAGGGGCGUGUGAGAAGCGGAAGGCUGUGGCCGCACAUUGGGCCGGGAAAUGUGAGGAGACGGCCCGUGGCACCAUAGCUCGGCGAGGGGCAGGGGCUUCCUUGGGGGCGGCCUUUAAGGGCCCGGCUGAAGACUUGGGGUAGAGAUAAUCAUUUUGAAUGCAGACUGACCUGCUUCUGAAAUCAGAAUAUCUGGAAGAAGGAAUACAGUGACACAACAAGCACAGCAAGGAGUGAGGAGUGUUCAUGGCUCCCCAGCAACAGCUACAAGGUCAUUCUUGCACUACCACAAGAAAUCAAAUCUAUUUUGCUGCACAUCCAGAAGAUUUAGGAAUAUGGACAGCAUUUUCAGGCAUAGUAACUUGAGAAACUCUUCACUCCAGCAACUACAGCUUAUCUGCCAAGGGAGAGGCCACUGCCCAGCACCUGGAAGCUGCCCAACCACUUUCAGGCACUGCAGGGAUCAUCCAGGUAGCCACCAGGUCCCCCCUGAGCCUGCACUUUUCCAGACUGAAGAGUCCCAAGGGAGGAGUGGCAGCUGCCCCAGGACAGCUACAAGGAGCUGAGGCAACUGUGGGCCUCCAUCAAUACUGCCAUCCAGGAAGAGUGCAGGGUGUUGCAGCAGCUCUUGGCUGCCAUCCCCACCCCAGCUGCCCCUGCCAUUGUGCCCCAGCCCAUGCCAGCCCCAGCACAGGCACCAGGUCCCCCUGGCCAGCCCAUGACCCCACCACCAGGGGCAGGGCCCAGCUGGAAGUAUUAUGCCUGGCUGGUGGCUCAGCUGGCACCUCAGCAGGGACCACGGCGUCUGCUGCAGAGAAGCAUUGCUCCUGCUUCUCCGUUUCCCAAUCCUGGGCCUGAAUGCAGCAUCUGCCUCUGAGGAGGAGCACCCAGCCUCCUCCCCAGAGCAGCUGGGGCCCCAGCCACGUCAGCAUGGCCCCCACACGUAGGGUGGUCGCACACAGGGCCAAGGCCUGGGUCAGGGCCAAGGGGCUGCGAACCCCUGAUUCCCUUCUAACUGCACCUCCUCCCCUGGUGUUUCCCUCACUCCUAAGGACCCUUUUUCUUGCUUCUGAUGCUUGUGUGAAUAGUUGCCAUUUAUUUCUGGUUUUGAAUGGGUUUGUGCAUGGGUGGGGGCUGGGUGCAUGGUGGUGAGGUUGUGGAGGGUCUCAUGUGAAGUACUGUUGGUGUUGGAGAGAAGG